CGUAGGAUGCAAGCGUUGUCCGGAUUUAUUGGGCGUAAAGAGUUCGUAGGUGGUUCGUUAAGUCUGGUGUAAAAGACUGGGGCUCAACCCUGGGAUCGCACUGGAUACUGGCGGACUGGAGUGUGGUAGAGGCAAGUGGAAUUCCCAGUGUAGCGGUGAAAUGCGUAGAUAUUGGGAAGAACACCGGUGGCGCAAGCGACUUGCUGGGCCAUAACUGACACUGAGGAACGAAAGCUAAGGGAGCGAAUGGGAUUAGAUACCCCAGUAGUCCUAGCUGUAAACGAUGGAUACUAGACGUAUCGGGUAUCGACCCCUGAUGUGUCGCAGCAAACGCGAUAAGUAUCCCGCCUGAGUAGUACGGCCGCAAGGUUG
Molecule: ribosomal RNA, 372 nt
Filed under: uncultured organism
Description: bacterial SSU rRNA
Rfam family: Bacterial small subunit ribosomal RNA
Source: RNAcentral